This 497-nucleotide ribosomal RNA is filed under the name uncultured bacterium. Its description in RNAcentral is "partial 16S ribosomal RNA". It matches the Rfam family "Bacterial small subunit ribosomal RNA", at positions 28 to 507 of the family's 1533-position model. The record is from RNAcentral.
GACGAACGCUGGCGGCGUGCCUAAUACAUGCAAGUUGAGCGCUCAGGGGUGGUACUUGUACCAAUUGGAUUAGCAGCGGACGGGUGAGUAACGCGUGGGGAAUCUGCCUUUGAGCGUGGGACAACAUUUGGAAACGAAUGCUAAUACCGCAUAAAAACUUUAAACACAAGGUUCAAUUUUGAAAGAUGCAAUUGCAGCAAUCAAAGAUGAUCCCGCGGUGGAUUAGCUAAUUUGGGAGGGAAAGGCUCAACAAAGGGAUGAUACAUAGCCGACCUGAGAGGGUGAUCGGCCACAUUGGGAAUGAGACAAGGCCCAAGCUCCUACGGGAGGCAGCAGUAGGGAAUCUUCGGCAAUGGAGGAAAGUCUGACCGAGCAAAGCCGCGUGAGGGAAGAAGGUUUUCCGAUCGUAAAACUCUGUUGGUAGAGAAGAACGUUGGUGAGAGUGGAAAGCUCAUGAAGUGACGGUACCUAACCAGAAAGGGACGGCUAACUACGUG